Pelobates cultripes (western spadefoot toad) is the source of this 591-nucleotide non-coding RNA. The record is from the annotation of a GenBank genome assembly. NCBI's taxonomy places the organism in Eukaryota, Metazoa, Chordata, Amphibia, Anura, Pelobatidae.
CUUCUUUGCUCAACAGGCCACAGGCUCCUCUGGCACUGCGAGCAGGAGGGAAGGGGGAGUGACUGGCCUGCAGGAGCAUGCAACCGGCAGUGGGAGGGGAGACCAGAAUCGGACAGGAAAUAUCUCUCCUGUCUUGCAGCUGGUCGCAGUCACAACAAAAAGUGACCCCAGGGCAGUUGGGCCGCAAAUAUAUCCAUUAUGGGCCACAAGUUUGACAUGCUUGCUUUAAGACACCUUGAGCACUGGUAAAGCCAAAACUCCCAAGUUAAAGGUAAAAAAGCUUCCAAUAGCGUACUAUCAUCUGAACUGUAUGCUUUCACCAGAUAGCACCCUCAAAACUCCUCUCACCUUGUAUUUGGUCAAAUACGUCUGCUGCCACACUGUUUUUUUUCCUUUUUUUUAAUCCAAUCAUUUCUGCACCUCAUAUUCAAACUUUGUUGAUCUACCGUGUUUUCCCGAAAAUACACCCUACCCCGAAAAUAAGCCCUAGCUGGAUUAUCAGGGUGGGCUGCAAUAUAAGCCCUACCCCGAAAAUAAGACCUAGGCAGGGCCGGCAGCUGCCGGCCCUUUAAAUGCCACAGCCAACUGAGC